AUCCAGCUGACAAGUCACAAAUAGAACGAAACACGCGUCCUGGAU
RNAcentral lists this non-coding RNA (45 nucleotides) under Schistosoma mattheei. Lineage: Eukaryota; Metazoa; Platyhelminthes; Trematoda; Strigeidida; Schistosomatidae. The record is from RNAcentral.